AGCGAACGCUGGCGGCAGGCUUAACACAUGCAAGUCGAGCGGGCAUCCUUGUGGUGUCAGCGGCAGACGGGUGAGUAACGCGUGGGAACGUGCCCUUCGGUUCGGAAUAACUCAGGGAAACUCGAGCUAAUACCGGAUACGUGCGAGAGCAGAAAGGUUUAUCUGCCGAAGGAUCGGCCCGCGUCUGAUUAGCUAGUUGGUGAGGUUAUGGCUCACCAAGGCGACGAUCAGUAGCUGGUCUGAGAGGAUGAUCAGCCACACUGGGACUGAGACACGGCCCAGACUCCUACGGGAGGCAGCAGUGGGGAAUAUUGGACAAUGGGGGCAACCCUGAUCCAGCCAUGCCGCGUGAGUGAUGACGGCCUUAGGGUUGUAAAGCUCUUUUCUCCGGGACGAUAAUGACGGUACCGGAGGAAUAAGCCCCGGCUAACUUCGUG
RNAcentral lists this ribosomal RNA (437 nucleotides) under uncultured bacterium. Its description in RNAcentral is "partial 16S ribosomal RNA". It matches the Rfam family "Bacterial small subunit ribosomal RNA", at positions 29 to 507 of the family's 1533-position model. The record is from RNAcentral.